RNAcentral lists this ribosomal RNA (749 nucleotides) under Priestia flexa. RNAcentral's name for it is "bacterial SSU rRNA". It matches the Rfam family "Bacterial small subunit ribosomal RNA", at positions 56 to 787 of the family's 1533-position model. The record is from RNAcentral. Lineage: Bacteria; Bacillati; Bacillota; Bacilli; Caryophanales; Bacillaceae.
UGCAGUCGAGCGACUGAUUAGAAGCUUGCUUCUAUGACGUUAGCGGCGGACGGGUGAGUAACACGUGGGCAACCUGCCUGUAAGACUGGGAUAACUCCGGGAAACCGGAGCUAAUACCGGAUAACAUUUUCUCUUGCAUAAGAGAAAAUUGAAAGAUGGUUUCGGCUAUCACUUACAGAUGGGCCCGCGGUGCAUUAGCUAGUUGGUGAGGUAACGGCUCACCAAGGCAACGAUGCAUAGCCGACCUGAGAGGGUGAUCGGCCACACUGGGACUGAGACACGGCCCAGACUCCUACGGGAGGCAGCAGUAGGGAAUCUUCCGCAAUGGACGAAAGUCUGACGGAGCAACGCCGCGUGAGUGAUGAAGGCUUUCGGGUCGUAAAACUCUGUUGUUAGGGAAGAACAAGUACAAGAGUAACUGCUUGUACCUUGACGGUACCUAACCAGAAAGCCACGGCUAACUACGUGCCAGCAGCCGCGGUAAUACGUAGGUGGCAAGCGUUAUCCGGAAUUAUUGGGCGUAAAGCGCGCGCAGGCGGUUUCUUAAGUCUGAUGUGAAAGCCCACGGCUCAACCGUGGAGGGUCAUUGGAAACUGGGGAACUUGAGUGCAGAAGAGAAAAGCGGAAUUCCACGUGUAGCGGUGAAAUGCGUAGAGAUGUGGAGGAACACCAGUGGCGAAGGCGGCUUUUUGGUCUGUAACUGACGCUGAGGCGCGAAAGCGUGGGGGAGCAAACAGGAUUAGAUACCC